Molecule: unclassified non-coding RNA, 338 nt
Filed under: soil metagenome
Description: partial contains 5.8S ribosomal RNA, internal transcribed spacer 2, and large subunit ribosomal RNA
Rfam family: 5.8S ribosomal RNA (bases 1-120)
Source: RNAcentral
GAUGAAGAACGCAGCGAAAUGCGAUAAGUAAUGUGAAUUGCAGAAUUCAGUGAACCAUCGAAUCUUUGAACGCACAUUGCGCCCGCCAGUAUUCUGGCGGGCAUGCCUGUCUGAGCGUCAUUUCAACCCUCAAGCAACUUCUGCUUGGUGUUGGGGAUCGGCCGUUAAACGCCGCCCCCGAAAUCUAUUGGCGAUCUCGCUGUAGCUUCCUAUGCGUAGUAGUAACAUCUCGCAUCUGGAGAGCGGCGCGGUCAUGCCGUAAAACACCCAACUUCUCAGGUUGACCUCAGAUCAGGUAGGAAUACCCGCUGAACUUAAGCAUAUCAAUAAGCGGAGGA